Molecule: ribosomal RNA, 253 nt
Filed under: uncultured bacterium
Lineage: Bacteria
Description: partial 16S ribosomal RNA
Rfam family: Bacterial small subunit ribosomal RNA
Source: RNAcentral
UACGUAGGGCGCAAGCGUUAUCCGGAAUUAUUGGGCGUAAAGAGCUCGUAGGCGGUUUGUCGCGUCUGCCGUGAAAGUCCGGGGCUCAACUCCGGAUCUGCGGUGGGUACGGGCAGACUAGAGUGAUGUAGGGGAGACUGGAAUUCCUGGUGUAGCGGUGAAAUGCGCAGAUAUCAGGAGGAACACCAAUGGCGAAGGCAGCUCUCUGGGACGGUACUGACGCUGAGACGCGAAAGCGUGGGGAGCGAACAGG